UAAUACGGAGGGUGCAAGCGUUAAUCGGAAUUACUGGGCGUAAAGCGCACGCAGGCGGUUUGUUAAGUCAGAUGUGAAAUCCCCGGGCUCAACCUGGGAACUGCAUUUGAAACUGGCAAGCUAGAGUCUCGUAGAGGGGGGUAGGAAUUCCAGGUGUAGCGGUGAAAUGCGUAGAGAUCUGGAGGAAUACCGGUGGCGAAGGCGGCCCCCUCGGACGAAGACUGACGCUCAGGUGCGAAAGCGUGGGGAGGCAAACAGGAUUAGAUACCCUGGUAGUCCACGCUGUAAACGAUGUCGAUUUGGAGGUUGUGCCCUUGAGGCGUGGCUUCCGGAGCUAACGCGUUAAAUCGACCGCCUGGGGAGUACGGCCGCAAGGUUA
Molecule: ribosomal RNA, 379 nt
Filed under: uncultured Serratia sp.
Lineage: Bacteria; Pseudomonadati; Pseudomonadota; Gammaproteobacteria; Enterobacterales; Yersiniaceae
Description: bacterial SSU rRNA
Rfam family: Bacterial small subunit ribosomal RNA
Source: RNAcentral